Small nucleolar RNA from Coffea eugenioides, 107 nucleotides. The record is from RefSeq and is a predicted model, not a curated record. NCBI's taxonomy places the organism in Eukaryota, Viridiplantae, Streptophyta, Magnoliopsida, Gentianales, Rubiaceae.
AUUUGAUAUUGUGGGCAUCUAGUGCACAACUUAUUGAACCUUUCUUAGUAAUCAUAUAGGGAUUCUCCAGGAUACUGCUUAAUACUGCAAAUCUCCUUUCUCAGACU